Molecule: long non-coding RNA, 511 nt
Organism: Eptesicus fuscus (big brown bat)
Lineage: Eukaryota; Metazoa; Chordata; Mammalia; Chiroptera; Vespertilionidae
Exons: 3
Source: RefSeq, a predicted model, not a curated record
GCUGGGAUCAACAGAGGUGACGAUUCAUCAGUGGCGACAGCCUGACUCCUCCACUGUGCAGUCAUCUCUUCUCUUAGAACCAGAGUUCGCUCCGGCCUGGUGAUUUGGCACAUCAGACAAGUCUCAGCAGGACGGAGACGGUGCUAGUAGGCACAACAGGUCUGCCCUGGCGCGCUGCAGGGCCCGAGCCUGCCGCCUGCCCCACCCUCCUGACCGCCCGGCCCGCCUGGCUCCGGACCAGCCCUGCCUGGCUGCCUUGAAAGAGCUGCAACGCGCUUCUGAUGAGAAAGAAAACAGAAAGUCAGCACCAGCCACGCCUGAAUCUGAAAGUGGACCACCUGCUGAAGGCCCCAGGUCUCCCAGCAUCUCCCCGAAGCCAGGCGCCCGCCGUCUGUGUGCGGGCGGUCUCGCUUGGGUGUCACCGGCAUCUCCAGCGCAGAGGCUGCUUCCUCCCAGCCCGCGCCUCCGGGAGCCGCUCCCCCAGCAGAUGCAGGCAGCCCCUCCUUCUGGU